CACCUUUAACCAGUGAGGCAAUCUCUUUUUAGGUCAUCAUUGGUACACAGACAGUUCUGGCUAAUGGAGGGCUGAGGGCCGUCAAUGGGACACACACUCUAGCCCUCGCAGCCAAGCACCACUCAACACCCCUGAUUGUUUGUGCUCCCAUGUUCAAGCUCUCGCCUCAGUUCCCAAAUGAAGAGGAUACCUUCCAUAAAUUUGUCUCCCCACAUGAGGUUCUUCCUUUCACUGAAGGUGAAAUCCUCUCAAAGGUGAAUGUGCACUGUCCAGUGUUCGACUAUGUCCCACCCGAGCUCAUCACACUGUUCAUCUCUAACAUUGGAGGACAUGCACCAUCAUACAUCUACUGACUGAUGAGCGAACUUUACCACCCAGAAGACCACGAACUUUAAUCAAUGUAAUUAACAAAUCACUUAAAUAAAAUGGUUGUUACAGUGUCA
Molecule: long non-coding RNA, 443 nt
Organism: Monopterus albus (swamp eel)
Lineage: Eukaryota; Metazoa; Chordata; Actinopteri; Synbranchiformes; Synbranchidae
Exons: 3
Source: RefSeq, a predicted model, not a curated record